AGUGAACGCUGGCGGUAGGCCUAACACAUGCAAGUCGAGCGGACGCACAGUAAGAGCUUGCUCUUACGGGUGGCGACUGGCGGACGGGUGAGGAAUACAUCGGAAUCUACUUUUUCGUGGGGGAUAACGGAGGGAAACUGACGCUAAUACCGCAUACGUCCUACGGCUUAAAGCAGUAGUUCUUCGCACCUUGCGCGAUUGUAUGAGCCGAUGUCGGAUUAGCUAGUUGGCGGGGUAAAGGCUCACCAAGGCGACGAUACGUAGCUGGUCUGAGAGGAUGAUCAGCCACACUGGAACUGAGACACGGUCCAGACUCCUACGGGAGGCAGCAGUAGGGAAUAUUGGACAAUGGGCGCAAGCCUGAUCCAGCAACACCGCGUGAGUGAUGAAGGUCUUCGGGUUGUAAAGCCCUGUUGUUGGGAAAGAACAACUGCAGGUUAAUAUCCCGCUGUUUUGACGGUACCCAAAGAAUAAGCACCGGCUAACUUCGUG
RNAcentral lists this ribosomal RNA (492 nucleotides) under uncultured bacterium. Its description in RNAcentral is "partial 16S ribosomal RNA". It matches the Rfam family "Bacterial small subunit ribosomal RNA", at positions 29 to 507 of the family's 1533-position model. The record is from RNAcentral.